AGAGACAACAUGCUGAGAGAGCAGAGGAGACCCUCCAGGCAAGGGCAGACUCCUUGCAGGGGCAGGCUGGGGGCCCCCGCUGCCUGCUGGGUCAGGCUGGUGAAUCUGGUCAUGGUUCCGCCCCCCAGAUUCACUCCCUAGGUGUGUUUGUUUACUGGUUCCUCACUGUCUUGCUCAAAUGCUCCAACUCUACAAAUCCCGGGAUCUCGGGGUGCAGAUCACCUCUCCCAGAUUCCUGAGCCUGUGUCUGGCCAUGGGCACCUCCAGCAUCUUCCUCUGCGUGCUGUUCCUCUGUGGGGCACUGGGUCUCACCAUGUCCCCUGCCCGGGGAAGGCUCCGCUGCUACAUCUGUGGCUUCACCAAACCCUGCCACCCUGUUCCCACCGAGUGUCGGGACGAUGAAGCUUGUGGCAUCAGUAUUGGCACUUCAGAUGCCCAUUGCUGAUGCCCCGUGUCAGCCCAGGUCACUGGCAAGGCAGGCAUUUUGAUGACACUGUGGAUCUCAGGCAAGGGGAUCAAAGGAGCAUCAGGUAUGGUAAGGAGGAGAGUCUUGCUAGGAAAGACUAAUGUGGUAGGUCGGGAACUCAGGAUGGAGGGCUUGGGGGACUAUGAAGAGUACCUUUAAUAAAAGGUCUAUCUAGGAGUCCAGUAAUACUGCAGAUACUGCAGUGUGUGUGUGUGUGUGUGUGUGUGUGUGUGUGUGUGUCUGUGUGUGUGUGCUCUAAGAGCAAACUGUAGCUGCUUGGUGGGUUGGGCUGGAGCUGGAACCUGGACCA
Homo sapiens (human) is the source of this 776-nucleotide long non-coding RNA. The record is from Ensembl. Lineage: Eukaryota; Metazoa; Chordata; Mammalia; Primates; Hominidae.